This 216-nucleotide ribosomal RNA is filed under the name Glomeromycotina sp. Its description in RNAcentral is "partial small subunit ribosomal RNA". The stretch from base 40 to 216 matches the Rfam family "Eukaryotic small subunit ribosomal RNA", at positions 686 to 864 of the family's 1831-position model. Lineage: Eukaryota; Fungi; Glomeromycota. The record is from RNAcentral.
GGGUCAGUAGGUUGGUCGUGCCACCGGUACGUACUGGUCUCACUGAUUCCUCCUUCCUGAAGAACCGUAAUGCCAUUAAUUUGGUGUUGCGGGGAAACAGGACUGUUACUUUGAAAAAAUUAGAGUGUUUAAAGCAAGCUAACGCUAGAAUACAUUAGCAUGGAAUAAUGAAAUAGGACGUUCGAUCGUAUUUUGUUGGUUUCUAGGAUUGACGUA